AUGUUUUGGUUGUUACUGAGUGAUGGGAGUGCACCUGGAAAUGGGACCAGGCCACUCACUGGACAAGAGAGGCUGUCUUUACAGCAGGGUAGCAGAGGAUGGAGCACAGACAGGACAGCUGGCCUGAAUUAGGCAAGGAGUUAUUCCAUACCAUGUGACAUCAUGCAGAAGGUCAUAAAGCUGUGAGGAGUUGGCUUAGGGACAGGCUGCUUCUUAGAGAUUGUCUGAGUAUCAGUCGGCUGGUGAUGAGACACUCAGCUGCUAGAUGGAUGUUGGUCAGUCAGCAGUUGUAUUGCUAGCUGGGCAUCAGUUGUUAGGAGGUCUGGAUGCUUCUUCACAUUAACUGCAGAAACUUUUCCUGUAUGAAAAUGUCAGAAAGUGGAAGUGUAUGUAAAAUUAGAAACCGGGAAGUUCCCUUUACUCACGCAAGUUGUUUGGUAAAACCCAGAGGGAAGCCACCAUUUUCUAAGAAAUCAGGAAAACAAAAUAUUCUGAAUAAGUGUUUCAAAACACAUUUCCAUGGUGUAGGACUUUGUGGUAUUUAUUUCUAUUAAGAUUGAAUGUGAAAUCUGAACUUCCAGGUCAACUUCAAUUUAAAGAAAUCCUCCUGUCCAUCACUGGCAAAAAUGCUCCCAA
RNAcentral lists this long non-coding RNA (636 nucleotides) under Numida meleagris (helmeted guineafowl). RNAcentral's name for it is "lncRNA (ENSNMEG00000015223.1)". Lineage: Eukaryota; Metazoa; Chordata; Aves; Galliformes; Numididae. The record is from RNAcentral.